This 341-nucleotide ribosomal RNA is filed under the name uncultured Pseudomonadota bacterium. Its description in RNAcentral is "bacterial SSU rRNA". It matches the Rfam family "Bacterial small subunit ribosomal RNA", at positions 29 to 351 of the family's 1533-position model. The record is from RNAcentral. Lineage: Bacteria; Pseudomonadati; Pseudomonadota.
AACGAACGCUGGCGGCGUGCUUAACACAUGCAAGUCGAACGCGAAAGUUUUCUUCGGAAGACGAGUAGAGUGGCGCACGGGUGAGUAACGCGUGGGUAACCUGCCCUUAAAUCUGGGAUAACUUUGCGAAAGCAUUGCUAAUACCGGAUACUAUUCCCAAGACUGUGGUUUUGGGAAUGAAAGGUGACCUCUUCAUGAAAGUUGCUGUUUAAGGAGGGGCUCGCGUACCAUUAGCUUGUUGGUGGGGUAAUGGCCUACCAAGGCGACGAUGGUUAGCUGGUCUGAGAGGAUGAUCAGCCACACUGGAACUGAAACACGGUCCAGACUCCUACGGGUGGCAG